Molecule: unclassified non-coding RNA, 1880 nt
Filed under: Anneissia japonica
Lineage: Eukaryota; Metazoa; Echinodermata; Crinoidea; Comatulida; Comatulidae
Description: nudC domain-containing protein 2-like, transcript variant X2
Source: RNAcentral
AAAGUGGCAAUUCUUUGGUAACCCAAUUCUUUGGCGGCACAGAUGGCGAUUGACUAGGCCUAUAGGCCUAGUAGUAGGGAAAUACCAUUUGCUGCUGUAAUUUAAUUUUAAAAUCAAUUAAGUUACUAUUUUCUGAUGAACAUCAAAUAGCCUAUUAUUUUCAGUCAGUUGAGACCAACAGUGAUAACUAUAUAGGUCAACUAUUCCAGAUAUAUGUGAAAAAUAUGUCUCAUUUUGAUGAGAAGAGUGGAAUUGUACCAUGCGAGACAGAAUGGGGAAUGUGGUACCAAACUAUAGAGGAGGUGAUGGUUGAAAUAAAUGUUGAGCCUGGUACCAAACCCAAGGAGAUUACUGUGAUUUUUAAACCAAAUCAUUUAACAUGUGUUGUAAGAGGAAACAAUAUUAUUAAGGGAGACCUAUUUGCUACAGUGCAUGCCGAUGAGUGUCUUUGGGAUCUUGAAGACAGAAAACUGUUGAGAUUAACAUUAACCAAAGGUAAUCCAACAGCAGAAAACUGUUGGCAGUCAUUACUCAAAGAGCAGUAUGCUGCUGAUCCAAUGAAAUUUGACCAGAUGGAAAAGAAGCUAACUCUAGAGAGGUUUCAAAAUGAGUUCGUUGAUGCAUUUUGAGCGACUACAGUGCAUUCCUUGUAUUGCAAGUAACAAUUUGCCCGCGAAAUUAUUGAAAGUAAUACCUGACCUAUGAGGAAACAGUUACUGGUUUGAUUUGAUCAACUAUAAGCUGAAUUUCCAGGAAGACUAAAACUAAUGAUAUUCGUAAUCAAGAGAUUAAAUGAUUUCAUAAGUCUAAUGUAGUGAUUUAUAUGUACUGUAUAAGACUUCAGUGCAUCUGUAUAAAUAUAGUUCUAAUCUUCAACUUCGUCUUCGACAUCACCGCCCACCAUUGGUUGAUGGCAAGAAGUCUGUACAAUUAAUUGUAUGUUGAAUAUAUCCAGUGAGAGACCAGGUGGUGCAGUCAGCCGUUACUUACAAUAAUACCGUAUAAAAUAAAAUGUUAAACCUGUUUGGCCAGUGCAUUUCUGUGUAUGCCACUACAUAUUUUUUAGACAAAACUAUUCUUAAUUUAAAAUUCAAACAUUCAAGUUAGCAACAAGUGCUUUAUCUGGUACAGUUGUGCAGGUUGCUUUUUAAUUUAUUUUACCAUUUUAUAUUCAUUUAUCGAUGUGCAAAAAGUCCAACAAAUUAACUUGUACCAAACAUGACAAGAACUCUGAAGAGAUGCUUUUUAUAAGUAAAUGAUAGUGAUAAACACCCAGACUUUGUAUGCACAGCAGAGUCAACUUGGAAUUCACCAAUAACUACAGUAUAUUAGUUGAUGGAAGUUUUUCCAACUGUUAGCAUGACCCAAUAAGUAUAUAUUCAUUUUUUCAUUAUUUCAAGAAAAUUUGAUAUUUUUUUCUAAUCUUAUGAUCCUGCACACAUGUAUAGUGAAAUGUUAUUUUGAAAUCUAUAGUGUGAGUUUUAAUGAUGCUACACCCAAAAAAAAGUGAAUUUUUUUUUUCAACAAAGCAUAAUAUAAUAAUACAAAUUAACAAAUGUUUAAUAUUUUUUUUAUUGUUCAAUAAUUGUAAUACUGAAAUUUUUUUUAUUACUGUUGUUACAGUAUUAUUUUGAUUUUCAUCACCUUUUGCUUUGUUAAGGGUAACUCAUAAUUUCUUUUAAAUACUUUAGUACUUAUAUUUUAUGAUAGCUACCAUUUGAGUUAAUUUUCUUACUAGUCGUAUAGUUGUACAAUUUAGUAACAUUGAGACUGAUUUUCUCAAGACCAGAUUUCCAUACAUCUUAACUUACAAUGCUUGCAUUUCUGGAUCUACUUAUCCUUAGAACGACCAAAUUAAAGCUUAUAAUGUAAAGUUAAAA